ACCUACCUUACAUUGGGGGAUAGCCUUUCGAAAGGGAGAUUAAUACCGCAUAAGACAGUAACUGGGCAUCCAGUAGCUGUUAAAGAUUUAUCGAUGUAAGAUGGGCAUGCGACCAAUUAGUUAGUUGGCGAGGUAACGGCUCACCAAGACUAUGAUUGGUAGGGGAACUGAGAGGUCAAUCCCCCACACUGGCACUGAGAUACGGGCCAGACUCCUACGGGAGGCAGCAGUAGGGAAUAUUGGGCAAUGGACGCAAGUCUGACCCAGCCAUGCCGCGUGCAGGAUGAAGGCGUUAUGCGUCGUAAACUGCUUUUAUACAGGAAGAAACGACUCUUGCGAGAGGCAUUGACGGUACUGUAUGAAUAAGCACCGGCUAACUCCGUGCCAGCAGCCGCGGUAAUACGGAGGGUGCAAGCGUUGUCCGGAUUUAUUGGGUUUAAAGGGUGCGCAGGUGGUUUAUUAAGUCAAUGGUGAAAGACGGUCGCUCAACGAUUGCAGUGCCAUUGAAACUAGUAGACUUGAGUAAAGUAGAGGUGGGCGGAAUUGAUAGUGUAGCGGUGAAAUGCAUAGAUAUUAUCAAGAACUCCAAUUGCGUAGGCAGCUCACUUGGCUUUUACUGACACUCAUGCACGAAAGUGUGGGUAUCAAACAGGAUUAGAUACCCUGGUAGUCCACACUGUAAACGAUGAUAACUAGGUGUCGGCCGAAU
This 709-nucleotide ribosomal RNA is filed under the name uncultured bacterium. RNAcentral's name for it is "bacterial SSU rRNA". It matches the Rfam family "Bacterial small subunit ribosomal RNA", at positions 124 to 832 of the family's 1533-position model. The record is from RNAcentral.